UAGGGAAUCUUCCACAAUGGACGCAAGUCUGAUGGAGCAACGCCGCGUGAGUGAAGAAGGUUUUCGGACCGUAAAGCUCUGUUGUUGGUGAAGAAGGAUAGAGGUAGUAACUGGCCUUUAUUUGACGGUAAUCAACCAGAAAGUCACGGCUAACUACGUGCCAGCAGCCGCGGUAAUACGUAGGUGGCAAGCGUUGUCCGGAUUUAUUGGGCGUAAAGCGAGCGCAGGCGGAAGAAUAAGUCUGAUGUGAAAGCCCUCGGCUUAACCGAGGAAUUGCAUCGGAAACUGUUUUCUUGAGUGCAGAAGAGGAGAGUAGAACUCCAUGUGUAGCGGUGGAAUGCGUAGAUAUAUGGAAGAAUACCAGUGGCGAAGGCGGCUCUCUGGUCUGCAACUGACGCUGAGGCUCGAAAGCAUGGGUAGCGAACAGGAUUAGAUACCCUGGUAGUCCAUGCCGUAAACGAUGAGUGCUAAGUGUUGGGAGGC
This 483-nucleotide ribosomal RNA is filed under the name uncultured bacterium. RNAcentral's name for it is "partial 16S ribosomal RNA". It matches the Rfam family "Bacterial small subunit ribosomal RNA", at positions 355 to 831 of the family's 1533-position model. The record is from RNAcentral.